Long non-coding RNA from Astyanax mexicanus (Mexican tetra), 850 nucleotides. RefSeq lists it as uncharacterized. The record is from RefSeq and is a predicted model, not a curated record. The transcript has 7 exons. NCBI's taxonomy places the organism in Eukaryota, Metazoa, Chordata, Actinopteri, Characiformes, Acestrorhamphidae.
UUAAACACUGAAAUCUAAAAACGCUUGUUUAAAUGCUGAAAUCGUAAAACUUUUGGUUAAACUUUUGAUUGCUAAUGUGUUGCUAGGCAGUUGCUAUCAUUUCUGAAAAGGUUGCUAAGCUGUUGCUAGGCAGUUGCUAAUGUUUUCCAGGUGGUUGCUAAGCUAUUGCUAACUGGUUGCUAGGCAAUUGCUAACAUAUACCAGGUAGUUGCUAAGGUGUUGCUAGGUGGUUGCUAGGGUGUUGCUAGGUUGUUGCUAAGGUGUUGCUAUGGUAUCUGGGGUGGUUGCUAAGAUGUUGCUACGUGGUUGCUAGGGUGUUGCUAUGGUAUCCGGGGUGGUUGCUAAGGUGUCGCUAGGUGGUUGCUAGGGUGUUGCUAGGUGGUUGCUAAGGUGUUGCUAUGGUAUCUGGGGUGGUUGCUAAGGUGUUUCUAAGUGGUUGCUAGGUGGUUGCUAAGGUGUUGCUAUGGUAUCUGGGGUGGUUGCUAAGGUGUUUCUAGGUGGUUGCUAGGUGGUUGCUAAGGUGUUGCUAUGGUAUCUGGGGUGGUUGCUAAGGUGUUUCUAGGUGGUUGCUAGGUGGUUGCUAAGGUGUUGCUAUGGUAUCUGGGGUGGUUGCUAAGAUGUUGCUACGUGGUUGCUAGGGUGUUGCUAUGGUAUCCGGGGUGGUUGCUAAGGUGUCGCUAGGUGGUUGCUAGGGUGUUGCUAGGUGGUUGCUAAGGUGUUGCUAUGGUAUCUGGGGUGGUUGCUAAGGUGUUUCUAAGUGGUUGCUAGGUGGUUGCUAAGGUGUUGCUAUGGUAUCUGGGGUGGUUGCUAAGGUGUUUCUAGGUGGUUGCUAGGUGGUUGCUAAGGUGUU